GUCGGGAAUCUUGGACAAUGGGGGAAACCCUGAUCCAGCCACGCCGCGUGGGUGAUGGAGGCCUUCGGGUCGUAAAGCCCUGUCGGAGGGGAAGAAACGGUUUAAGGAUAAUACCCUUGGAUCUUGACGGUACCCUCGGAGGAAGCACCGGCUAACUACGUGCCAGCAGCCGCGGUAAUACGUAGGGUGCUAGCGUUGCUCGGAAUUACUGGGCGUAAAGGACGUGUAGGCGGCCUUGCAAGCGGGAUGUGAAAACCCCAGGCUCAACCUGGGAAGUGCAUUCCGAACUGCUUGGCUUGAGUCCGAGAGAGGGCGGUGGAAUUCCCGGUGGAACGGUGAAAUGUGUAGAUAUCGGGAGGAACACCUGCGGCGAAGGCGGCCGCCUGGCUCGGUACUGACGCUAAAGCGUGAAAGCGUGGGUAGCAAACAGGAUUAGAAACCCCGGUAGUCC
RNAcentral lists this ribosomal RNA (451 nucleotides) under uncultured bacterium. RNAcentral describes it as "bacterial SSU rRNA". It matches the Rfam family "Bacterial small subunit ribosomal RNA", at positions 354 to 796 of the family's 1533-position model. The record is from RNAcentral.